CUGGCGGCAGGCCUAACACAUGCAAGUCGAGCGGCAGCACGGGAGCUUGCUCCUGGUGGCGAGCGGCGGACGGGUGAGUAAUGCCUAGGAAUCUGCCUGAUAGUGGGGGAUAACGUUCGGAAACGGACGCUAAUACCGCAUACGUCCUACGGGAGAAAGUGGGGGACCUUCGGGCCUCACGCUAUCAGAUGAGCCUAGGUCGGAUUAGCUAGUUGGUGGGGUAAUGGCUCACCAAGGCGACGAUCCGUAACUGGUCUGAGAGGAUGAUCAGUCACACUGGAACUGAGACACGGUCCAGACUCCUACGGGAGGCAGCAGUGGGGAAUAUUGGACAAUGGGCGCAAGCCUGAUCCAGCCAUGCCGCGUGUGUGAAGAAGGUCUUCGGAUUGUAAAGCACUUUAAGUUGGGAGGAAGGGCUGUGCACGAAUACUGUGCAGUUUUGACGUUACCGACAGAAUAAGCACCGGCUAACUCUGUGCCAGCAGCCCGCGGUAAUACAGAGGGUGCAAGCGUUAAUCGGA
Molecule: ribosomal RNA, 521 nt
Filed under: Pseudomonas sp. Z4S-65
Lineage: Bacteria; Pseudomonadati; Pseudomonadota; Gammaproteobacteria; Pseudomonadales; Pseudomonadaceae
Description: bacterial SSU rRNA
Rfam family: Bacterial small subunit ribosomal RNA
Source: RNAcentral